Molecule: non-coding RNA, 77 nt
Organism: Drosophila mojavensis
Lineage: Eukaryota; Metazoa; Arthropoda; Insecta; Diptera; Drosophilidae
Source: Rfam
UUUAGCUAUGAUUGUCCAAACGCAAUUCUUGUUGAUUUUUAAAUACUCAAGGGUUGCAUCUGGGCAUCGCGGCUCGA